This 445-nucleotide ribosomal RNA is filed under the name uncultured bacterium. RNAcentral's name for it is "bacterial SSU rRNA". It matches the Rfam family "Bacterial small subunit ribosomal RNA", at positions 354 to 796 of the family's 1533-position model. The record is from RNAcentral.
GUGAGGAAUAUUGGUCAAUGGACGAGAGUCUGAACCAGCCAAGUAGCGUGAAGGAUGAAGGUCCUACGGAUUGUAAACUUCUUUUAUAAGGGAAUAAACCCUCCCACGUGUGGGAGCUUGUAUGUACCUUAUGAAUAAGCAUCGGCUAACUCCGUGCCAGCAGCCGCGGUAAUACGGAGGAUGCGAGCGUUAUCCGGAUUUAUUGGGUUUAAAGGGAGCGCAGACGGGUCGUUAAGUCAGCUGUGAAAGUUUGGGGCUCAACCUUAAAAUUGCAGUUGAUACUGGCGUCCUUGAGUGCGGUUGAGGUGUGCGGAAUUCGUGGUGUAGCGGUGAAAUGCUUAGAUAUCACGAAGAACUCCGAUUGCGAAGGCAGCACACUAAUCCGUAACUGACGUUCAUGCUCGAAAGUGUGGGUAUCAAACAGGAUUAGAUACCCUAGUAGUCC